This 423-nucleotide ribosomal RNA is filed under the name uncultured bacterium. Its description in RNAcentral is "partial 16S ribosomal RNA". It matches the Rfam family "Bacterial small subunit ribosomal RNA", at positions 359 to 774 of the family's 1533-position model. The record is from RNAcentral.
GAAUAUUGGACAAUGGGCGAAAGCCUGAUCCAGCCAUGCCGCGUGUGUGAAGAAGGGCUUCGGAUUGUAAAGCACUUUAAGUAGGGAGGAAGGGCAGUAAGCGAAUACCUUGCUGUUUUGACGUUACCGACAGAAUAAGCCACGGCUGACUCUGUGCCAUCAGCCGCGGUAAUCCAGAGGGAGCAAGCGUUAAUCGGAAUUACUGGGCGUAAAGCGCGCGUAUGUGGUUCGUUAAGUUGGAUGUGAAAUCCCCGGGCUCAACCUGGGAACUGCAUCCAAAACUGGCGAGCUAGAGUAGGGCAGAGGGUGGUUGAAUUUCCUGUGUAGCGGUGAAAUGCGUAGAUAUAGGAAGGAACACCAGUGGCGAAGGCGACCACCUGGGCUCAUACUGACACUGAGGUGCGAAAGCGUGGGGAGCAAACA